This 473-nucleotide ribosomal RNA is filed under the name uncultured bacterium. Its description in RNAcentral is "bacterial SSU rRNA". It matches the Rfam family "Bacterial small subunit ribosomal RNA", at positions 330 to 795 of the family's 1533-position model. The record is from RNAcentral.
ACCAGACUCCUACGGGAGGCAGCAGUGGGGAAUAUUGCACAAUGGGCGCAAGCCUGAUGCAGCCAUGCCGCGUGUAUGAAGAAGGCCUUCGGGUUGUAAAGUACUUUCAGCGGGGAGGAAGGCGAUAAGGUUAAUAACCUUGUCGAUUGACGUUACCCGCAGAAGAAGCACCGGCUAACUCCGUGCCAGCAGCCGCGGUAAUACGGAGGGUGCAAGCGUUAAUCGGGAUUACUGGGCGUAAAGCGCACGCUGGCGGUCUGUCAAGUCGGAGGUGAAAUCCCCUGGCUCAACCUGGGGACUGCUUCCGAAACUGGCAGGCUGGAGUCUUGUAGAGGGGGGUAGGAUUCCAGGUGUAGCGGUGAAAUGCGUAGAGAUCUGGAGGAAUACCGGUGGCGCAGGCGGCCCCCUGGACAAAGACUGACGCUCAGGUGCGAAAGCGUGGGGAGCAAACAGGAUUAGAUACCCGAGUAGAA